Molecule: long non-coding RNA, 441 nt
Filed under: Phasianus colchicus (ring-necked pheasant)
Lineage: Eukaryota; Metazoa; Chordata; Aves; Galliformes; Phasianidae
Description: lncRNA (ENSPCLG00000015990.1)
Source: RNAcentral
CAAUGGGGCACAAUGGUGGCACAGUGGGGGACAAUGGGACACAAUGGGGGCACCAUGGGGACACAAUGGGGGCAUGGCCAUCAAUGGGGCACAAUGGGACACAAUGGGGAGGGACAUAACCAUCAAUGGGACACAAUGGGACACAAAGGGGCACAAUGGGGGCACAGUGGGGGACAAUGGGACACAAUGGGGCACAAUGGGACACAAUGGUGACACAGUGGGGGACAACGGGACACAAUGGGGGCACAGUGGGGCACAACGGGGGCACGGCCAUCAAUGGGGCACAAUGGGACACAAAGGGGCACAAUGGGGGCACAGUAGGGACACAAUGGGGCACAAUGGGACACAAUGGGGGCACAGUGGGGGACAAUGGGACACAAUGGGGGCACCAUGGGGGCAUGGCCAUCAAUGGGGCACAAUGGGACACAAAGGGGGCACAAU